AGUGAACGCUGGCGGUAGGCCUAACACAUGCAAGUCGAACGGCAGCACAGGAGAGCUUGCUCUCUGGGUGGCGAGUGGCGGACGGGUGAGGAAUACAUCGGAAUCUACCUUUUCGUGGGGGAUAACGUAGGGAAACUUACGCUAAUACCGCAUACGACCUACGGGUGAAAGUGGGGGACCGCAAGGCCUCACGCGAUUAGAUGAGCCGAUGUCCGAUUAGCUAGUUGGCGGGGUAAUGGCCCACCAAGGCGACGAUCGGUAGCUGGUCUGAGAGGAUGAUCAGCCACACUGGAACUGAGACACGGUCCAGACUCCUACGGGAGGCAGCAGUGGGGAAUAUUGGACAAUGGGCGCAAGCCUGAUCCAGCCAUACCGCGUGGGUGAAGAAGGCCUUCGGGUUGUAAAGCCCUUUUGUUGGGAAAGAAAUCCUAUCGGUUAAUAACCGGUGGGGAUGACGGUACCCAAAGAAUAAGCACCGGCUAACUUCGUGCCAGCAGCCGCGGUAAUACGAAGGGUGCAAGCGUUACUCGGAAUUACUGGGCGUAAAGCGUGCGUAGGUGGUGGUUUAAGUCUGCUGUGAAAGCCCUGGGCUCAACCUGGGAAUUGCAGUGGAUACUGGAUUACUAGAGUGUGGUAGAGGGAUGCGGAAUUUCUGGUGUAGCAGUGAAAUGCGUAGAGAUCAGAAGGAACAUCCGUGGCGAAGGCGGCAUCCUGGGCCAACACUGACACUGAGGCACGAAAGCGUGGGGAGCAAACAGG
Molecule: ribosomal RNA, 759 nt
Filed under: Pseudoxanthomonas mexicana
Lineage: Bacteria; Pseudomonadati; Pseudomonadota; Gammaproteobacteria; Lysobacterales; Lysobacteraceae
Description: bacterial SSU rRNA
Rfam family: Bacterial small subunit ribosomal RNA
Source: RNAcentral